AUGACAUAAUACGGUGAAGAUCCAUAUAUGAAAUGUUACUUCACUUCUUUCGGCAUUAAAGAUGCCAUAACCAUCUGCUCUAUUCGGCAGGAGUCCACCAAAUCCGUUACAUUAGUAUACCCAACCUUUACAUACCAAUAACCAGAAUUAUUGAUGCAAGAAGAAGCAUCCACAUAAAGUGGAGAACUCUGUACUGGAUCUUCACAG
Molecule: unclassified non-coding RNA, 207 nt
Filed under: Hevea brasiliensis (rubber tree)
Lineage: Eukaryota; Viridiplantae; Streptophyta; Magnoliopsida; Malpighiales; Euphorbiaceae
Source: RNAcentral